This 345-nucleotide unclassified non-coding RNA is filed under the name soil metagenome. RNAcentral describes it as "partial contains 5.8S ribosomal RNA, internal transcribed spacer 2, and large subunit ribosomal RNA". The stretch from base 1 to 120 matches the Rfam family "5.8S ribosomal RNA", at positions 35 to 154 of the family's 154-position model. The record is from RNAcentral.
GAUGAAGAACGCAGCGAAAUGCGAUACGUAAUGUGAAUUGCAGAAUUCAGUGAAUCAUCGAGUCUUUGAACGCACAUUGCGCCCCCUGGUAUUCCGGGGGGCAUGCCUGUCCGAGCGUCAUUGCUGCCCUCAAGCACGGCUUGUGUGUUGGGCCUCCGUCCUCCUCCCGGGGGACGGGCCCGAAAGGCAGCGGCGGCACCGCGUCCGGUCCUCGAGCGUAUGGGGCUUCGUCACCCGCUCUUGUAGGCCCGGCCGGCGCUUGCCGACACAUCAAUCUUUUUUCCAGGUUGACCUCGGAUCAGGUAGGGAUACCCGCUGAACUUAAGCAUAUCAAUAAUCGGAGGA